GAGGUAAGAGCUCACCAGUCUUGCCGGUGACGGCAGGAGCUAGGCAAACCCCACCUGGAGCAAGACCAAAUAGGGGAACGUUUGAGGGUGGUCCGCCCGAGUUCCCGGGUAGGUCGCUUGACCCCGAUGGUAACAUCGGGGCUAGAUGAAUGGCCAUCGCCCCAAGGGUGGGUGACCCCCUUGGGGAACAGAACCCGGCUUAUGGACUGCUCUGGCAU
This 218-nucleotide RNase P RNA is filed under the name Desulfobacterales bacterium. RNAcentral's name for it is "partial RNase P RNA component class A". It matches the Rfam family "Bacterial RNase P class A", at positions 164 to 367 of the family's 367-position model. Rfam says of the family: Ribonuclease P (RNase P) is a ubiquitous endoribonuclease, found in archaea, bacteria and eukarya as well as chloroplasts and mitochondria. Its best characterised activity is the generation of mature 5'-ends of tRNAs by cleaving the 5'-leader elements of precursor-tRNAs. Cellular RNase Ps are ribonucleoproteins. The record is from RNAcentral. Lineage: Bacteria; Pseudomonadati; Thermodesulfobacteriota; Desulfobacteria; Desulfobacterales.